GAGGUGUGCUCAGAGUAGGGGGCCUGAAGAAAUGGCUCCUUUGCUUACAACACACCCAAUAGGAAUCUGGGUUCAUUGUAACAAGAGGCACAAAAUUUGUGGUCUUCUAUGAACAAGUAUCCAACACAU
Cervus hanglu yarkandensis (Yarkand deer) is the source of this 129-nucleotide small nucleolar RNA. The record is from Ensembl. Lineage: Eukaryota; Metazoa; Chordata; Mammalia; Artiodactyla; Cervidae.